Long non-coding RNA from Carassius auratus (goldfish), 341 nucleotides. RefSeq lists it as uncharacterized. The record is from RefSeq and is a predicted model, not a curated record. NCBI's taxonomy places the organism in Eukaryota, Metazoa, Chordata, Actinopteri, Cypriniformes, Cyprinidae. The transcript has 3 exons.
CUGCGGUGAGCAGAUGCCUCACAAAGACUAUUGCCGAAUUGGCAUUGAUGGCAUAGGCCCACGCCAGUUUCUCAACCUGGACACAAGAAGACUGGGAGGCAGUCAGGGAUGGAGACACAGAUGUGGAACUGGAUCUGGGGAGGGACAGUGAAGUGGCACAUGGAGAACUGGACCUGGACUGCGGAGACCCUGGAAGGGCCGGUAAUGCUUUGGUCCUUGAUCUCUUGCUUUAAUUCAACCAUAGUCUGUGUCGGACUGUUGUGAUUAUCUGAAGAAGGCUGUGAUUGACCGUAUCGCCUAAGAAACUCUUCUGCAGGGUCUAUCCUCCUGGGAGCCUUUGA